This 404-nucleotide ribosomal RNA is filed under the name Brucella melitensis. RNAcentral describes it as "partial 16S ribosomal RNA". It matches the Rfam family "Bacterial small subunit ribosomal RNA", at positions 355 to 776 of the family's 1533-position model. RNAcentral also lists the same sequence under 1 other name. Lineage: Bacteria; Pseudomonadati; Pseudomonadota; Alphaproteobacteria; Hyphomicrobiales; Brucellaceae. The record is from RNAcentral.
UGGGGAAUAUUGGACAAUGGGCGCAAGCCUGAUCCAGCCAUGCCGCGUGAGUGAUGAAGGCCCUAGGGUUGUAAAGCUCUUUCACCGGUGAAGAUAAUGACGGUAACCGGAGAAGAAGCCCCGGCUAACUUCGUGCCAGCAGCCGCGGUAAUACGAAGGGGGCUAGCGUUGUUCGGAUUUACUGGGCGUAAAGCGCACGUAGGCGGACUUUUAAGUCAGGGGUGAAAUCCCGGGGCUCAACCCCGGAACUGCCUUUGAUACUGGAAGUCUUGAGUAUGGUAGAGGUGAGGGGAAUUCCGAGUGUAGAGGUGAAAUUCGUAGAUAUUCGGAGGAACACCAGUGGCGAAGGCGGCUCACUGGACCAUUACUGACGCUGAGGUGCGAAAGCGUGGGGAGCAAACAGG